RNAcentral lists this ribosomal RNA (487 nucleotides) under uncultured Actinomycetes bacterium. RNAcentral's name for it is "bacterial SSU rRNA". It matches the Rfam family "Bacterial small subunit ribosomal RNA", at positions 926 to 1412 of the family's 1533-position model. Lineage: Bacteria; Bacillati; Actinomycetota; Actinomycetes. The record is from RNAcentral.
CAAGCGGCGGAGCAUGCGGAUUAAUUCGAUGCAACGCGAAGAACCUUACCAAGGCUUGACAUAUAGAGGAAGGCGGCAGAAAUGUACGCCCCAGCAAUGGUCUCUAUACAGGUGGUGCAUGGUUGUCGUCAGCUCGUGUCGUGAGAUGUUGGGUUAAGUCCCGCAACGAGCGCAACCCUCGUCCUAUGUUGCCAGCACGUAAUGGUGGGAACUCAUGGGAGACUGCCGGGGUCAACUCGGAGGAAGGUGGGGAUGACGUCAAAUCAUCAUGCCCCUUAUGUCUUGGGCUUCACGCAUGCUACAAUGGCCGGUACAGAGGGCUGCAAUACCGUAAGGUGGAGCGAAUCCCAAAAAGCCGGUCUCAGUUCGGAUUGAGGUCUGCAACUCGACCUCAUGAAGUCGGAGUCGCUAGUAAUCGCAGAUCAGCAACGCUGCGGUGAAUACGUUCCCGGGCCUUGUACACACCGCCCGUCAAGUCACGAAAGUC